ACGGGAGGCAGCAGUGGGGAAUGUUGGACAAUGGAGGAAACUCUGAUCCAGCGACGCCGCGUGAGUGAAGAAGUAUUUCGGUAUGUAAAGCUCUUUAAGCAGGAAAGAAAAUGACGGUACCUGCAGAAUAAGCCCCGGCUAACUACGUGCCAGCAGCCGCGGUAAUACGUAGGGGGCAAGCGCUAUCCGGAUUUACUGGGUGUAAAGGGAGCGUAGACGGCAAUACAAGUCUGAAGUGAAAGCCUGUGGCUUAACUGCAGAACUGCUUUGGAAACUGUAUAGCUAGAGUGUCGGAGAGGUGAGUGGAAUUCCUAGUGUAGCGGUGAAAUGCGUAGAUAUUAGGAAGAACACCGGUGGCGAAGGCGGCUCACUGGACGAUAACUGACGUUGAGGCUCGAAAGCGUGGGGAGCAAACAGGAUUAGAUACCCUGGUA
RNAcentral lists this ribosomal RNA (434 nucleotides) under uncultured Lachnospiraceae bacterium. RNAcentral's name for it is "partial 16S ribosomal RNA". It matches the Rfam family "Bacterial small subunit ribosomal RNA", at positions 341 to 792 of the family's 1533-position model. The record is from RNAcentral. Lineage: Bacteria; Bacillati; Bacillota; Clostridia; Lachnospirales; Lachnospiraceae.